UAAUGGCUAUUCAAAACUUCGCUGCUUUUCUCUACAUUUCCAGAAUGGCGAUCCAAUUUACGUGGCAGGCAUUGAUACCUCUGUGUGGAACUUUAAUAAAAUAUAUAAGACACUCUUCAUCCAAAGUCAGUACAAAAAACUUAAACAGUCUUUGACACCAACGAGUGGCUCUUUCCAGAUCCCUAGAAAUCUCUCCAAAACUUCAUCAGCAGCAUCUGAUACUCCUGAUGUCUCCCCGCUUUGAAAACUGCCAUCCGUGCCUAUCAGCUACCAAAGGACUCCCAACUGUACUUACGUAUGCAGUGGUCUUCAUGUCUACGGAGCAUUUUCUCUUGGAUAUCUCAAAGGUUUUGUCUCAAGUCCUGGGACCCAAAAGAUUCCUUCUUCCGGACAUAUUCCAUGGUCCUGUUGAAUGGUCAAAGUGACCAGAGCCCCCCUUCUGCCCCCCACAUGCUAUACUAGCAUCUACCGAAGACUCAGAACCAUGAAGUGGCUUAGCCCCCAUUUUGCUACCAUUAGGACAACACAUCAAUUUUGUGCCACAACUUUACGUUAGCUUUGUACUAUAAAAGACAUCUAUAGCUAACAGUGUAUUUUUUUAAAAAAACCCAUAAAAUAAGCAGAAAAAUAAAACUUUUUUCCAAAGCU
Molecule: long non-coding RNA, 648 nt
Organism: Suricata suricatta (meerkat)
Lineage: Eukaryota; Metazoa; Chordata; Mammalia; Carnivora; Herpestidae
Exons: 3
Source: RefSeq, a predicted model, not a curated record